UAGGAACUAGACAGACACCAGGCUGUAGGCGCAGUACCAGACCCCAGGAAGUGUAGAAACAGUACCUGGUCUGAAUAGAAGAAGCCCAGGACGGCUAUGGUCAGCUGAGUGAGGAAGACCAGAGUCAGACUGAAGGAGAACUGGAGAAGAAGAGACGUUACAGAGAUAGUAUUCUGUCAGAGGCAGGGCUCCGAUGCAGCCGCAGAAGGUGAUGAAGAACAUGACCACGCCCACCACGAUCAGGAUGACCGCUGGGUCGAUCAGGAACGUGUCUCUGACCGUGUCUGCAAGAGAUGAACACCGACAACCGUGUGGUGUGACCCACUAGCACAACCUACUAUGAUCUGGGGGGAUCUUUCUGGGCACCUCUACUGGGGAUUUGUUUCACAGUGAUAUCGGAAAGAAUGAAAGGCAAACCAUGUCAUGAAGUUAAGAUUGCAGAAAGCAUAUUUUCAGAUACAGAUGUAUGGCUUGGAAUAUGCAGAAUAAAAUGGGUCAUACCUGUUGCUUUUUGAACCUUUGCAUAUACCCCUAUAGCAACAAUCAGCAAGGAGAAGACCUGAAAGAGGACAAUAAAUCAGAUAUGCAUAUAAUCUCCUUAAAAUAGUAAUAAUACAACUGUUUUAGAUCAGGAAACCCUUAACAGUUAAUAACUUGGGGCUCUAUUCAAUCCGCAUCACAGACGCUCAGUUUAACAGCGUGAUUGAAAUUUAAAGGCAAUGUUCCCGCUUUAGCGGAGACCGCAUUCAUGAUAAACGCUGCAUAUGUCGGCUCAAUCCGAAAUGACCUUUUACAUUUCUAUCGUGGAAUCCGUUACGCUUCAGCCUGACAGAUUGAAUAGAGCCCUUAAAAUGCUGUUUUUUGUUUUUGUUGCUACGGUUUUCAACCUUGGGCUUAGGGCUAUUCAUCAAAUCAGUCGAGGCUUGCCUUCAAUUUUUCUCCAUUUAUUUUGGGGAAUUGUCUAGUUCAUUUGUCAGCUUUUGCUGUGUGGUUUCUUCUUUGCCAAACUAAUCUCAGGCAGAAGAUUUGAUAGUUGUUCCAGCUCUUCAUUUGUAUUUCUAUUAUUUUCUGGCAGACAGACAUUUGGCUACCCUAUUCUUGGAGCUAGAGUUCUUGGAGCUAGAGUCCUUGGAGCUAGAGUCCUUGGAGCUAGCCUUUGUCAGUAGGUGAUGUGUACUUGCAAAAAACAGAGUUCUGUUUUCAAAAUCUAUUUCCCUACAUGAUUGUUAUACCACCUUGAAUGAUGAUUUGUCUUUUGUUUACAGACCCCCUGAUUGGCUUCCUGAUGGCCAAUAGUGUGUGGUUCUGAUGGAGCUUGUACACCGUAGGAUCUCUCUGUGAAAUUAAUUGCACAAGCUCCUAUUUAAACAUACAAAAUUGGUUGUCUCAUACUGCUUUGUCUCGUUGAAAUAAAAAAAUGUGUUUUGCAAGAGAGACUUGCAUUGACCAUUAACAAUCA
Oncorhynchus keta (chum salmon) is the source of this 1459-nucleotide long non-coding RNA. RefSeq lists it as uncharacterized. NCBI's taxonomy places the organism in Eukaryota, Metazoa, Chordata, Actinopteri, Salmoniformes, Salmonidae. The transcript is spliced from 2 exons. The record is from RefSeq and is a predicted model, not a curated record.